AUACCUACGCAGUCGAAAAAUGGAAUGAUGCACAUAACAUCAUUAUUGUACCUAUAUUUGUUCUCUCUGUAUCAUUUUGAUUUUGACUGUAACCAAAAUUCAGGAAUUCAGAAUAAAAGUUCGUCAGUUGUACAGAAGUUGAACUGUUUUUAACAGUUGCUUUUCUAGUAGGAUUUAAUAUCAUAGUACAUGUGCAGGCAUCAUUGAGUCAAGAAUAUUUUAUUACAAUUAAAAAAUGAAUGCUCUCAUUUAAAUUAUAUUUCUCAUCCACAAAAUAAUCAAUGCAUAGCAAAAUAUAACCUUCAAAUUUAUUAUCUUCUGGUAUACUUGUUAAUUUAAUCAAGAUAGUACAAAAUAAUAUUGUUUAAGUUAAAGUGAAUACAUUUGUGUACUACUGUAAAUCAAGUGGUUUUUUGUUCCAAUAACUAAAUGACUAAAUAUAUAACAGGAAAUCAUGAAAAAAACUAGUGGAUGUUCAUAAACAAAUUGCCAUUUACUAUCAAACUAAACAAUGGAUGUUGGAGAAGAGAGCAAGGGUCUAGUGACUGUAGUUGCUGGAGAGUCUGAUCCUCUAAACAAUAGUCAAGCGACAGUAGCAACUAUUCAACUAGAUCCGUCAUCAGAUAUGGAUUUACUGAGCAACUGUCAAAGUGGGAUGGAAGGCACUGUGAUAAUUUUCGAUAAUGAUUCACAACAAGGAAUUGUGAAAUUAGUUAAUAGUGCUGAUGUACAAAACAGUCUAGGAACUGUUCCAGAUUCAGAUGAUUUAGAUAAUUUUAUAACUCUUCAUGCAGCAACUACUGAUCAAAAUAUUGCUGUAUCUGUAGAUGAAACCAUAGCACUCCCUGCUGAACAACAUUAUACAAUAGCAGCUGAACAGCAAAUAAGUUUACUUGAGAAAGGAGAAAAUUUUAUAUUACCAAAUGAACAACAAACUGUUUCACUAUCCUCUUCUCAAGAAAAUAUUGGUAUUAGUGUAGAUCAACAAAGCAUUGCAUUAUCUAAUCAACAAGAUAAUGUUUUGAUAUCCGUUUCGCAACCUGAUAUAACUAUUAACCCAAAACAAGAAAGUAUAACUUUAACAUCCCAACAACAAAAUAUCACCCAAGAACAGCAAAAUGUUGAUUUAGCUUCAGAACAACACAAUAUCUCAGUAAUCUCAGAGCAACAUAAUCUACCUACAACUUCGGAACAACACAAUUUCCCUGAAACACUAGAACAAAGUAAUAUCACUAUAGCUCCAGAACAACAUAAUAUCACUAUAACUACAGGAGAACAGAGAAUAACAAUACCAAUCGAACAACAUAGUGUUAUCGAACACUCUGAGGUUUCUGAACAAAAUAUUACUAUUUCCACUCAAAAUAGUGUUACAAAGUUUGACGAACCAAAUCUCUCUCAAACUAAUGAGCAAAAUAUUGAAACUUUUGCUGAUAAAAUAAUUGAGGAAACCACUGAGUUUCUUUCUUUUAAGCCUGAUCAGAAAGAAAUAAAACAAGAAGAUGCUACUCCUGCAGCAGAAUCAGAUGACGAUGAAACAAUUGCUACUUUUACCACAUCAACUGGUCAGCAGCUAGCUCUGUAUGCUGUAGAAGACUCGGAUGAAGUAUUUGCUGUAGCUCUUUAUGAUGAGUCCGGGGAACCACCAACUAAUUUUCAUUUUUUGAUGAAAGCGGAUGUUGAAAGACUAAUUGGAGAAGGUGCUGUCAAAACAGUAAAAAAACCUAAUGCCCAACAACGCAAAGAAGCUAAAGAAAAACUAGCUAAAGAAAAAAAAGAAAAAGAGGAAAUUAAAUUUGACAAAUAUCAAGCAGUUAUAACUAACAUAGAAAAACCGGAUGAAAUUCAAUACCUAAAGAAAGUUGAGGAAAUAAAAAAAGAAGUUGGAGAAGGUGCCCUUCAAUUCAUUGCACAACCAAGGCCUGUAGCUCCAAAAAUUGAACCUCUAAAACCUGUUAUAUCUAAACAACCUAUCAGCAAAAUUUUGGAAGGAGCUAAUAACAAAAGUGUAUUACCCUCCAUUCAAAGACGAAAUAUUGUCAAACAAUUAACGCCAAAGCAACAAGUAACACCAAGAACGCAAGCAACAGCUACUCUUACGUCACAAAUAGUUCUUAAAUCUCAAUCGUCACCUAAACUGCAAGCAAAUGCUAAAUUACAUUCAAAUUCUAAACUUCAAUUUACUCCUAAAUCACUUCCUUCUCCAAAUUCAGUUACAAUGCCUAAACUUCAAGGAACAACUUUUGUACCAUCAAAAGUCAAUCCACAAAUGGCAUCUAAAAUACAAACUAAUAUCAAAAAACCAGUAACGCCCAAGUUGCAAGCUAAGUCUAAUCCACAGAUAAUACCUAAGGCCCAAGUAAUGAAUCGACAAGUUACAUCUAAAAGUGAUUCUAGUAAUCAAUCUAUUCCAAUGAAACAAAUAUCUAAGCAAACUUUUGUUGGAAAACAACAGCCACAACAAUUCAUUGUGGCAAGACAAACUGGAGUUAAACAAACAGUACCCGUUAAGCCAGGAAAUUUCAUAAGACAAUAUCCUCCAGGAAAAACACCUAUUGUUAAGCGAAUAUUUCCAGCUAACCAAACAACAAUCAUCAGACAAAAUCCAUCCAACAGAUCACCUGCAUACAUCAGACAGAUAGCAACAGGACGACCUACUACACUGAUCAAACAAGUUCCUCCUCCAAAACAAGGAACAACUCAAAUUAUUAGACAAAUUAGUCCAGGAAAAAAAAUGAUUACCAAACCUAUACUGAAUCAAGAAGGCAGAAUAGUUAACGUAGUAACGCAGCAUUUGGUAGAAAGAAAAAAGGAACAUCAAGUAACUUAUCUUCUUCCAAACAAAAACAGUCCUUACAUUCAAGAAAAUCCAAUUGAAGAUAAUGAAGAUAGUGAACUAGAAUUGAUGGAACAAUCAACAAUGCAAUAUGUUCUUUGUGAUGGUGAUACUUCGGAAGGUGAAUUGACUUUUGAUGAACUUCAAGCUUCUUUACAGUCAAUUAAGAAAGAAAAGUUAAAAACUAUUCCUAAGAAGAUUAAAAAAAUUCGACCAUCAUGGUGGGUUAAUAAAAGUAUCAAACGACAGGAAAAUAUAACGAAAAUUUCACCUGUUGUUAAAUGUUCGCCCAAAUUGCCACCAAUAAUAACUCAGAGAAAGGUUUCAGUCACAGCGCCAAUGGUCUAUCGCACAUACAGAAGUAGCCCAAAAAAACUUCGUACUCCAAAUAAUUUGCUUCAAGCUCAUCGUAAAAUAAAAAAAGAAGAUGAAGAUCCUUCUUACAUAGAAGGUAAUUUAAAUUCUUCUGAAGAUAUACAAAAAAAUGAUGAUACACCAGUUUUGGUAACACCAGUAAGACCACGAUCUAGAAAACAGCAGUUGACCGUAGUCAAUCGAGCUGACUCGGAAAUAAUAAUUCAACCAGCUAGCGCGUAUUCUGAAGAUGAUGAAGAAAUAACCCAACCACGUAAACGUGGACGCCGGAAAAAGCAAACGACCAAUGAUCCCGAUUAUAAUCCUCGAGCAUCGGCUAGCAAAGCUAAGAAACGUACUAACCAGUCGGUUGAGCUUAUUGAAAUUGACGCAGAAGAGGCAGACGAGAACAGUAAAAAAUCAUCAAGUGAUAAGGAAAAUGAUGAUUUAGAGUCUGACUCAGAAGUAGAACCAAAACAAAAGCAAAAACCUAAACAAGUAUUUAUGCAGUGUAGUGAUUGCAAUCGAAAUUUUCGAAAAAAAAAAGUCUUAGAACGACACAUGCAAAUCUGCACGAAAAAUCCAACUAAUAUACAAAAAAUGGAAGAAAAAAAGGCGCUGGAAGAUUCUAAAGAAAAGAAAUUUACAUGCAAAGCAUGUGGUGAAAAAUUCAGUGUUGCCGUAUCGUUAGCACGACACGUGAGAGCUACGCAUUCACCAAAAAAGAGAGGUAGACCACGCAGAACCGAUCACAGAGAAGAUGACACUACAGACAUGGAAGAAAGUAGCGACGAUGAAAAAGCGAACAUUCACGAUAAAGAUCUUAAAAAGAAGGGCAAAUUGUCACCAAAGAAAAUAACUCCAACAAGAGAAGAUAGUGGAACUCCGGAAAUUGAGCUGAAACUUGAUAGUUCCAGUGAAAAUGUGAAAGAACCACCGAAACGCCGUGGUCGUCCACCCAAAGCCAUCAAAAAAGAGAUCUCUGAAACACCUGACAGUAAAAGCAAACCAUCUGCCUUAUUGAGUGAACCACGUCGACGAGGGAGACCUCCUAAGCAAAGAACUAUUUCAAAAGACGAGCACUCAGAAUCCUCAGAACCGGAAGAGAAAAAUAAAAUUGAACGACCGAUUGCUCAAGUUCCAAAAAAGCGUGGUCGUUGGAGCGAUCGUAUCUCAACGAGUACUCCGGAACCUGUCGAAGAGUCUAAAAAACGAGGUCGACCACCUACAAAAAAGAAAGAAAAUCAGUUGACCGAAGACGAUGAAAAUGAAAAUAAAUCUGACGAAGAUGAUGAUAAAAGUGUACCGAUAUCAGCGGGUCCUCUUAAAAAACGGGUUCGAUUACUAGCUAAAUCAGUGUCUGAAUCUGAAGAAAAAUUACCGGAAUCGACUACAGAUGAGCCCAAAAAACGUGGUAGACCUACAAAAAAAAAAGAUGAAUCUCAUACUGAAGAUGAUGAAGAUGAAAUAGAAAAUGAAAAUUUAAAGGAUGAAAAGGAAGAUAAAAAAUCAACUGCAGAUAAAGAAGGUAGAACGAGUACAGGAGAAAAAAUUAUUGCCCCUCCUAAAAAAAGAGGUAGACCGUCUAUGAAAGAUAAACUUUUGUCUGAUUCAGUUUACAAUAAAACCGAAGAAAUCAAAAUUGGCACAGAUAAAAAUAUAAAAGACGAAAAGCAAACGAGCGAAAAAUUACCGCUUGAACCCUGUCAAAUAGACAUUAAAGAAAAAGAAAAAGAACUAUUGGAAGAAUCAAAGAAACGUGGACGAACGGCGGAAGAAAAAUGCAAAGACGAAACAUCAUUUAUCGAAGAACAUAGCCAAUCAUCUGAAAUAACCAAGAAAAAAUCGACAACAGAUAAUGAUCAGAAGGAAGAUUCGCCGGACUUGGAUGAAAUGAUAGAAGAGUUAGUUGAAGUUCUCGAAAAAACGCCUCGAAAACGUGGAAGAUUCACUAGAAAAAAUAAAGAAGACGAAUCUGAACUUGAAGAUAAUUCAGAAGACGUAGGAGAAUUAAAAAAACGUGGAAAAUUAGUCAAAGAUAAAACGGACAUUGUAGACUCGAACGAAAAGGUAGACGAUCAAACUGCUUCACCACCCAAAAAGAGAGGCAGACCUGCCAAGUCUAGUAAAGAACAAUCAAUGAUGGAAGUAGAAGAGCAAAUGGAAGAAAUGUUUGCGUGUUUAGAACAAUCAAAUCCUCAUGUUAUAAAAAACAAAGAUAAUACAGAAUCUCUGUCUGAUCCUAAAAAAAAUAAAAAAUCUGACGUCAUUGAAAGCUUAGAUGUUUCUGAAUCAGGAGAAAAAUUUUCAACCACCAUAGAAACUUUGCCCAAGAAACGUGGCAGACCCCCUACAAAAGUUGACAAAGACGAUGCUCUGAUUCACGAAGAUAAAACUGAGGGUGGUCCCCAAUCUAAAUCUGACAAAACUGAUGAAUCAGAAAAUUCUUCUAAGGAACUGCAAACUAGAAGUCGCGCUUCUAAAAUAGAGAGCAAUUCAGAAUCUGAAAUGAAAUUGGAAUCUGCGUCAACGUCAAAAGGAGAUGCAAGAAAACGUGGAAGACCAAGUAAAUCUGAAAAAUCAUCGAAAGACAUAGUAUCCGACGAAGAAUUUAUAGCAAAUGAAGAUAGUACAACGGCUGGUGAAAUGAAUACGACCAAAAAUGUAUCAGAAGAAGAUAAAUCAACCGUUACUUCGAAUACCCCAAAGCUGAAAAAAUUCAGUUGCGAAAAUUGCCAUGAAUUUUUCACAAGUGUUGCAGCAUUAAAUGCACAUAGACUCACGCACAGGACUAAGAAGUCUGGUGAGUGAAUGUUGAAAGCAGUAGUGAAAAACUCUAUUAAUUCUUUUCAUUUCAUGAGUGUUAAUUUCUCUUUGGUAUGUUAGUGUAUCACUGUUCAACAUGCAAAAAGUUGGUACCAGCUGAGGCGUUUUCCAAGCACUUGGCAAGUCAUGGCCGCAAAGGU
Molecule: unclassified non-coding RNA, 6153 nt
Filed under: Trichogramma pretiosum
Lineage: Eukaryota; Metazoa; Arthropoda; Insecta; Hymenoptera; Trichogrammatidae
Description: titin homolog, transcript variant X2
Source: RNAcentral